ACCUUAGACAACGGAUGUCUUGGCUCCUUACACGAUGAAGAACAUUGCAUAAUGUGAUAAUUGGCUGGAGUAGCAACAUUACGACAAGUUCAAUCUUUGAAUGCACAUUGCAUCGAAGUCUCUCGGGACUUUCGAUAU
This 138-nucleotide ribosomal RNA is filed under the name Trichomitus sp. JS-2015. RNAcentral describes it as "5.8S ribosomal RNA". It matches the Rfam family "5.8S ribosomal RNA", at positions 2 to 138 of the family's 154-position model. From Rfam's summary of the family: 5.8S ribosomal RNA (5.8S rRNA) is a component of the large subunit of the eukaryotic ribosome. It is transcribed by RNA polymerase I as part of the 45S precursor that also contains 18S and 28S rRNA. The record is from RNAcentral. Lineage: Eukaryota; Parabasalia; Hypotrichomonadida; Hypotrichomonadidae.